GGAUGAACGCUGGCGGCGUGCCUAAUACAUGCAAGUCGAGCGAACAGACGAGGAGCUUGCUCCUUCGACGUUAGCGGCGGACGGGUGAGUAACACGUAGGUAACCUACCUAUAAGACUGGGAUAACUUCGGGAAACCGGAGCUAAUACCGGAUAAUAUUUCGAACCGCAUGGUUCGAUAGUGAAAGAUGGCUUUGCUAUCACUUAUAGAUGGACCUGCGCCGUAUUAGCUAGUUGGUAAGGUAACGGCUUACCAAGGCAACGAUACGUAGCCGACCUGAGAGGGUGAUCGGCCACACUGGAACUGAGACACGGUCCAGACUCCUACGGGAGGCAGCAGUAGGGAAUCUUCCGCAAUGGGCGAAAGCCUGACGGAGCAACGCCGCGUGAGUGAUGAAGGUCCUCGGAUCGUAAAACUCUGUUAUUAGGGAAGAACAAACGUGUAAGUAACUGUGCACGUCUUGACGGUACCUAAUCAGAAAGCCACGGCUAACUACGUG
Molecule: ribosomal RNA, 498 nt
Filed under: uncultured bacterium
Lineage: Bacteria
Description: partial 16S ribosomal RNA
Rfam family: Bacterial small subunit ribosomal RNA
Source: RNAcentral